AGCAGCCGCGGUAAUUCCAGCUCCAAUAGCGUAUAUUAAAGUUGUUGCAGUUAAAAGCUCGUAGUUGAAUUUCGGGAUCAGUACGCCGGUCGUGCCUUCGGUAUGUACUGGUGUUACUGGUUUCUACCUUCUGACGAACCGUUAUGUCAUUCAUUUGGUGUGGCGGGAAAUCAGGACUGUUACUUUGAAAAAAUUAGAGUGUUUAAAGCAGGCUCGCGCUUGAAUACAUUAGCAUGGAAUAAUGAAAUAGGACGUUUGAUCCUAUUUUGUUGGUUUCUAGGAUCGACGUAAUGAUUAAUAGGGAUAGUUGGGGGCAUUAGUAUUCAAUUGUCAGAGGUGAAAUUCUUGGAUUUAUUGAAGACUAACUACUGCGAAAGCAUUUGCCAAGGAUGUUUUCAUUAAUCAAGAACGAAAGUUAGGGGAUCGAAGACGAUCAGAUACCGUCGUAGUCUUAACCAUAAACUAUGCCGACUAGGGAUCGGAUGAUGUUAAUUUUUAAUGACUCAUUCGGCGCCUUACG
RNAcentral lists this ribosomal RNA (520 nucleotides) under uncultured Glomeromycotina. RNAcentral describes it as "SSU rRNA". It matches the Rfam family "Eukaryotic small subunit ribosomal RNA", at positions 569 to 1092 of the family's 1831-position model. The record is from RNAcentral. Lineage: Eukaryota; Fungi; Glomeromycota.